CAGUGGGAGCCUCUUAAUGGGGUGACUGCGUACCUUUUGUAUAAUGGGUCAGCGACUUAUAUUCUGUAGCAAGGUUAACCGAAUAGGGGAGCCGAAGGGAAACCGAGUCUUAACUGGGCGUUAAGUUGCAGGGUAUAGACCCGAAACCCGGUGAUCUAGCCAUGGGCAGGUUGAAGGUUGGGUAACACUAACUGGAGGACCGAACCGACUAAUGUUGAAAAAUUAGCGGAUGACUUGUGGCUGGGGGUGAAAGGCCAAUCAAACCGGGAGAUAGCUGGUUCUCCCCGAAAGCUAUUUAGGUAGCGCCUCGUGAAUUCAUCUCCGGGGGUAGAGCACUGUUUCGGCAAGGGGGUCAUCCCGACUUACCAACCCGAUGCAAACUGCGAAUACCGGAGAAUGUUAUCACGGGAGACACACGGCGGGUGCUAACGUCCGUCGUGAAGAGGGAAACAACCCAGACCGCCAGCUAAGGUCCCAAAGUCAUGGUUAAGUGGGAAACGAUGUGGGAAGGCCCAGACAGCCAGGAUGUUGGCUUAGAAGCAGCCAUCAUUUAAAGAAAGCGUAAUAGCUCACUGGUCGAGUCGGCCUGCGCGGAAGAUGUAACGGGGCUAAACCAUGCACCGAAGCUGCGGCAGCGACACUAUGUGUUGUUGGGUAGGGGAGCGUUCUGUAAGCCUGUGAAGGUGGCCUGUGAGGGUUGCUGGAGGUAUCAGAAGUGCGAAUGCUGACAUAAGUAACGAUAAAGCGGGUGAAAAGCCCGCUCGCCGGAAGACCAAGGGUUCCUGUCCAACGUUAAUCGGGGCAGGGUGAGUCGACCCCUAAGGCGAGGCCGAAAGGCGUAGUCGAUGGGAAACAGGUUAAUAUUCCUGUACUUGGUGUUACUGCGAAGGGGGGACGGAGAAGGCUAUGUUGGCCGGGCGACGGUUGUCCCGGUUUAAGCGUGUAGGCUGGUUUUCCAGGCAAAUCCGGAAAACCAAGGCUGAGGCGUGAUGACGAGGCACUACGGUGCUGAAGUGACAAAUGCCCUGCUUCCAGGAAAAGCCUCUAAGCAUCAGGUAACAUCAAAUCGUACCCCAAACCGACACAGGUGGUCAGGUAGAGAAUACCAAGGCGCUUGAGAGAACUCGGGUGAAGGAACUAGGCAAAAUGGUGCCGUAACUUCGGGAGAAGGCACGCUGAUAUGUAGGUGAAGCGACUUGCUCGUGGAGCUGAAAUCAGUCGAAGAUACCAGCUGGCUGCAACUGUUUAUUAAAAACACAGCACUGUGCAAACACGAAAGUGGACGUAUACGGUGUGACGCCUGCCCGGUGCCGGAAGGUUAAUUGAUGGGGUUAGCGGUAACGCGAAGCUCUUGAUCGAAGCCCCGGUAAACGGCGGCCGUAACUAUAACGGUCCUAAGGUAGCGAAAUUCCUUGUCGGGUAAGUUCCGACCUGCACGAAUGGCGUAAUGAUGGCCAGGCUGUCUCCACCCGAGACUCAGUGAAAUUGAACUCGCUGUGAAGAUGCAGUGUACCCGCGGCAAGACGGAAAGACCCCGUGAACCUUUACUAUAGCUUGACACUGAACAUUGAGCCUUGAUGUGUAGGAUAGGUGGGAGGCUUUGAAGUGUGGACGCCAGUCUGCAUGGAGCCGACCUUGAAAUACCACCCUUUAAUGUUUGAUGUUCUAACGUUGGCCCCUAAUCGGGGUUGCGGACAGUGUCUGGUGGGUAGUUUGACUGGGGCGGUCUCCUCCUAAAGAGUAACGGAGGAGCACGAAGGUUGGCUAAUCCUGGUCGGACAUCAGGAGGUUAGUGCAAUGGCAUAAGCCAGCUUGACUGCGAGCGUGACGGCGCGAGCAGGUGCGAAAGCAGGUCAUAGUGAUCCGGUGGUUCUGAAUGGAAGGGCCAUCGCUCAACGGAUAAAAGGUACUCCGGGGAUAACAGGCUGAUACCGCCCAAGAGUUCAUAUCGACGGCGGUGUUUGGCACCUCGAUGUCGGCUCAUCACAUCCUGGGGCUGAAGUAGGUCCCAAGGGUAUGGCUGUUCGCCAUUUAAAGUGGUACGCGAGCUGGGUUUAGAACGUCGUGAGACAGUUCGGUCCCUAUCUGCCGUGGGCGCUGGAGAACUGAGGGGGGCUGCUCCUAGU
This 2126-nucleotide ribosomal RNA is filed under the name Escherichia coli. RNAcentral describes it as "partial 23S ribosomal RNA". It matches the Rfam family "Bacterial large subunit ribosomal RNA", at positions 571 to 2682 of the family's 2925-position model. The record is from RNAcentral. Lineage: Bacteria; Pseudomonadati; Pseudomonadota; Gammaproteobacteria; Enterobacterales; Enterobacteriaceae.